UAAUAUACCAGUUCUCGUUAGAUCACCGAAGUAAAGCAUCAUUGGGCGCGGUCAGUACUUGGGUGGGUGACCACCUGGGAACACCUUUGUGCCGU
This 95-nucleotide ribosomal RNA is filed under the name Caerostris extrusa. Lineage: Eukaryota; Metazoa; Arthropoda; Arachnida; Araneae; Araneidae. The record is from RNAcentral.